AGACCAUCUACAAGUGCAGCUCAUGGUCAAUUUAUAAGGUCGACAUCUACUGUCACACACACAGUUCUUCAUCUGCGGAUAUACUUCUUGAUGUAAGGACCAGCACUCCAGAUACAGGUGUUGGAAGAGGAACUGUUUAUACCUGAUUUGGGACGUUUCUUCCAUAGCUUGACCGGACAUUGAUCGCCAUUAUUUGAUGAAGAAGAAAACUCAUCAAGGGAGAUCACCAUAAAUCUCAUACCAAUAUGAGAGGAAAAUCCAAAUUCAGAAGAAAAUACAGGACGUCAGGAUGGAAGUGAGACUCCAGAUUUUCUAGAUGAAUUUGGAGAUGCCCAACAAUUGGAAAUACAUACCCCUGAGAAUCAGGACGAAUAAGUGGAAACACAGUCACCACCACCACCACCACAAGAAACAGGGGAUGUAAAUAUUGCAAAUCCAACAGCUGAUGGACUAUUGGCCGAUGUUGGCUUAACGGAAAUUUUGUCACUUGCCAGGCAAUAUAGAGAGGACCACAGGGACAUGCAGAAAGUUACUAACACUAAUAUUGAAUGUUGGGCAGCCAUAUCAGAAAAAAAGUAUUGAAAUUGGAAAAGAAAAAAUGGAAAUUGAAAGGCAAAAAUUAAAUCUCCAAAGAGAAAUGUUUCAGUGGCAGAGGCAGAUGGACAAAGAAAAAAAACAGCAAAUAAAUAGAGUCAUAAGCCUCACUGAAAGGACACUCCAAUCACUAAUAUCUAUUAUAAGUAAAAGAGAGGGUACAACAGACCCCAAAAGACCAAAGCUACAAUGAACAAUUUUUUUUUUAUACCACCAAAAUUUUAAAGGUUAUAUUAAAAAAGAUUUGGCAUUUUUUUUGCCUUUCUUAUGAAAA
Molecule: long non-coding RNA, 868 nt
Organism: Bombina bombina (fire-bellied toad)
Lineage: Eukaryota; Metazoa; Chordata; Amphibia; Anura; Bombinatoridae
Exons: 3
Source: RefSeq, a predicted model, not a curated record